UGGGGAAUAUUGGACAAUGGGGGCAACCCUGAUCCAGCCAUGCCGCGUGUGUGAAGAAGGCUUUCGGGUUGUAAAGCACUUUCAGUGAGGAGGAAAACCUUAUGGUUAAUACCCAUGAGGCUUGACGUUACUCACAGAAGAAGCACCGGCUAACUCCGUGCCAGCAGCCGCGGUAAUACGGAGGGUGCAAGCGUUAAUCGGAAUUACUGGGCGUAAAGCGCGCGUAGGUGGUUUGAUAAGCGAGAUGUGAAAGCCCCGGGCUUAACCUGGGAACGGCAUUUCGAACUGUCAGGCUAGAGUAUGGUAGAGGGUAGUGGAAUUUCCUGUGUAGCGGUGAAAUGCGUAGAUAUAGGAAGGAACACCAGUGGCGAAGGCGGCUACCUGGACCAAUACUGACACUGAGGUGCGAAAGCGUGGGGAGCAAACA
RNAcentral lists this ribosomal RNA (427 nucleotides) under uncultured bacterium. RNAcentral's name for it is "bacterial SSU rRNA". It matches the Rfam family "Bacterial small subunit ribosomal RNA", at positions 355 to 774 of the family's 1533-position model. The record is from RNAcentral.